AGCCCUUCCUUAUUUAUUUUGCUGUCUUUCUAGCAAAAAUCUCUAAAGUUUUAUGAAUAAAAGCUUUUUUUCUUUUAGAGAGCAAAAGUGUAGCUUUAGGCAUUUGGUCAUCUGUUUUAGAGCCCCUGACUAAUACACAUGAGUUUAGUUGGUUGGCGUGUGUGUGUGUGUGCGUGUGUGUGUCCGCAUAGUUGGGAAAUCACACAAUUGCAUCCUAAAAGCAGGAAACACAGGCUGGGUGCGGUGGGUCACGCCUGUAAUCCCAACACUUUGGGAGGCUGAGGCGGGUGGAUCACUUGAGGUCAGGAGUUUGAGACCAGCCUGGCCAACAAGGCGAAACCCCAUCUCUACCACAAAACACAAAAGUUAGCUGGGUGUGGUGGUGCAUGCCCAGCUGUAGUCCCAGUUACUCGGGAGGCUGAGGCAGGAAAAUCGCUUGAACCUGGGAGGCAGAGGUUGCAGUGAGCCAAGAUCCUGCCACUGCACUCUAGCCUGGUUGACAGAGUGAGACGCCAUCUCUAAAUAAAUAAAUAAAAUAAAAUAAAAUAGCAGGAAACACAAAACAUAAGUAAAGAUAUGAAAGGUGGGAAAAAAUUACAUAAUAAAUGAUUGCUAUUCCUAAUCUAAUGGAAGAGACAGACUCAUAAGUACAAUCCAAGACAGACUGUAAUGAGUAGUGUUUUAGAGAUGCUAAGUAACAGGUGAUAAUAUGCAAGAGACUGACUUAGUAAUAGUCUCCCACAUGUUGGCCCAAAAGGAGAAGAAGAGGCCGUGAAUGAUCUUUGCAAGACUAUUAACUCUGUGAAUGCAGGAACUACAUU
RNAcentral lists this long non-coding RNA (821 nucleotides) under Pan troglodytes (chimpanzee). RNAcentral's name for it is "long non-coding RNA NONPTRT004570". Lineage: Eukaryota; Metazoa; Chordata; Mammalia; Primates; Hominidae. The record is from RNAcentral.